GACGAACGCUGGCGGCGUGCCUAAUACAUGCAAGUAGAACGCUGAAGGAGGAGCUUGCUUCUCUGGAUGAGUUGCGAACGGGUGAGUAACGCGUAGGUAACCUGCCUGGUAGCGGGGAUAACUAUUGGAAACGAUAGCUAAUACCGCAUAAGAGUAGAUGUUGCAUGACAUUUGCUUAAAAGGUGCAAUUGCAUCACUACCAGAUGGACCUGCGUUGUAUUAGCUAGUUGGUGAGGUAACGGCUCACCAAGGCGACGAUACAUAGCCGACCUGAGAGGGUGAGCGGCCCAAGUGGGACGGAGACACGCCCCAAACCACUACGGGAGGGAGGAGGGGGGAAUCUUGGGAAAAGGGGGGAGGGCUGAACGGGCAGCGCCGGGGGAGGAAAGAGGGGUGUGGGAUAGAAAAGCUUGUUUGAAAGAGAAGAAAGGGGGGGAGAGGGGAAAGUUCACCCUGGGACGGUUUCUAAAAAAAAGGGGAGGGCUAACUCCGUG
RNAcentral lists this ribosomal RNA (494 nucleotides) under uncultured bacterium. Its description in RNAcentral is "partial 16S ribosomal RNA". It matches the Rfam family "Bacterial small subunit ribosomal RNA", at positions 28 to 507 of the family's 1533-position model. The record is from RNAcentral.